This 1392-nucleotide ribosomal RNA is filed under the name uncultured bacterium. RNAcentral describes it as "16S ribosomal RNA". It matches the Rfam family "Bacterial small subunit ribosomal RNA". The record is from RNAcentral.
UUAGAGUUUGAUCCUGGCUCAGGAUGAACGCUGGCGGCGUGCUUAACACAUGCAAGUCGAACGAAGCACUUUCUUUUGAGAUCUUCGGAAGGAAAAAGGGAGCGACUGAGUGGCGGACGGGUGAGUAACGCGUGGGCAACCUGCCUCACACAGGGGGAUAACAGCCAGAAAUGGCUGCUAAUACCGCAUAAGCGCCCAGGGCCGCAUGGCCCGGGGCGAAAAACCGAGGUGGUGUGAGAUGGGCCCGCGUCUGAUUAGGUAGUUGGUAAGGUAACGGCUUACCAAGCCGACGAUCAGUAGCCGACCUGAGAGGGUGACCGGCCACAUUGGGACUGAGACACGGCCCAAACUCCUACGGGAGGCAGCAGUGGGGAAUAUUGCACAAUGGGGGAAACCCUGAUGCAGCGACGCCGCGUGGAGGAAGAAGGUCUUCGGAUUGUAAACUCCUGUUGUUGAGGAAGAUAAUGACGGUACUCAACAAGGAAGUGACGGCUAACUACGUGCCAGCAGCCGCGGUAAAACGUAGGUCACAAGCGUUGUCCGGAAUUACUGGGUGUAAAGGGAGCGCAGGCGGGAAGACAAGUUGGAAGUGAAAUCUAUGGGCUCAACCCAUAAACUGCUUUCAAAACUGUUUUUCUUGAGUAGUGCAGAGGUAGGCGGAAUUCCCGGUGUAGCGGUGGAAUGCGUAGAUAUCGGGAGGAACACCAGUGGCGAAGGCGGUCUACUGGGCACCAACUGACGCUGAGGCUCGAAAGCAUGGGUAGCAAACAGGAUUAGAUACCCUGGUAGUCCAUGCCGUAAACGAUGAUUACUAGGUGUUGGGGGAUUGACCCCCUUCAGUGCCGCAGUUAACACAAUUAAGUAAUCCACCUGGGGAGUACGACCGCAAGGUUGAAAACUCAAAGGAAUUGACGGGGGCCCGCACAAGCAGUGGAGUAUGUGGUUUAAUUCGAAGCAACGCGAAGAACCUUACCAGGUCUUGACAUCCGAUGCAUAACACAGAGAUGUGUGAAAUCCUUCGGGACAUCGAGACAGGUGGUGCAUGGUUGUCGUCAGCUCGUGUCGUGAGAUGUUGGGUUAAGUCCCGCAACGAGCGCAACCCUUAUUGCCAGUUACUACGUUAAGAGGACUCUGGCGAGACUGCCGUUGACAAAACGGAGGAAGGUGGGGAUGACGUCAAAUCAUCAUGCCCUUUAUGACCUGGGCUACACACGUACUACAAUGGCGUUAAACAAAGAGAAGCAAGACCGCGAGGUGGAGCAAAACUCAAAAACAACGUCUCAGUUCAGAUUGCAGGCUGCAACUCGCCUGCAUGAAGUCGGAAUUGCUAGUAAUCGCGGAUCAGCAUGCCGCGGUGAAUACGUUCCCGGGCCUUGUACUCACCGCCCGUCA